CUAAAGCCCUAUGGGACAGACCAUGACAGCCGACUUGCUCGGAACCACAGCAAAUGCAAGUAUGAAAGCAGCUAAACUCAAAGCUGCAACUGCCAUAUAUGCUGAUGGACAUCUCCAUUUCCACCCCAGAAGACAGACUGUGCCAGAGCCCAGUACACGCGCGGGACUCAGGACAUUCUCGUGCAGUUCCUGCCUUCAGACCUGCUCCUCCCCCUCCCUGGAGCACAGCGCCCCUUCUCGGCCUGGAUGACCUCACAUUUCCCUUUCAGAUUCUCUGCUGGGAUACCAGUCUUCUGCUCGGAUUUGGAUUCCUAGUAGAACUCACACCAACAGCUCUCCUGCUUCUCAGGUCUUUGGACUCAGACUGAAACUAUGCCAUUGGCUCUCCUUGGUGUCGACUGCUCAG
This is a long non-coding RNA of Hipposideros armiger (great roundleaf bat), 406 nucleotides long. RefSeq lists it as uncharacterized. The record is from RefSeq and is a predicted model, not a curated record. The transcript is spliced from 4 exons. NCBI's taxonomy places the organism in Eukaryota, Metazoa, Chordata, Mammalia, Chiroptera, Hipposideridae.